UUAAGCGACUAAGCGUACACGGUGGAUGCCCUGGCAGUCAGAGGCGAUGAAGGACGUGCUAAUCUGCGAAAAGCGUCGGUAAGGUGAUAUGAACCGUUAUANCACUAUCGUUAACUGAAUACAUAGGUUAACGAGGCGAACCGGGGGAACUGAAACAUCUAAGUACCCCGAGGAAAAGAAAUCAACCGAGAUUCCCCCAGUAGCGGCGAGCGAACGGGGAGCAGCCCAGAGUCUGAAUCAGCUUGUGUGUUAGUGGAACGGUCUGGAAAGUCCGACGGUACAGGGUGAUAGUCCCGUACACCAAAAUGCACAGGCUGUGAACUCGAAGAGUAGGGCGGGACACGUGGUAUCCUGUCUGAAUAUGGGGGGACCAUCCUCCAAGGCUAAAUACUCCUGACUGACCGAUAGUGAACCAGUACCGUGAGGGAAAGGCGAAAAGAACCCCGGCGAGGGGAGUGAAAAAGAACCUGAAACCGUGUACGUACAAGCAGUGGGAGCACCUUCGGGUGUGACUGCGUACCUUUUGUAUAAUGGGUCAGCGACUUAUAUUCUGUAGCAAGGUUAACCGUAUAGGGGAGCCGCAGGGAAACCGAGUCUUAACUGGGCGUUAAGUUGCAGGGUAUAGACCCGAAACCCGGUGAUCUAGCCAUGGGCAGGUUGAAGGUUGGGUAACACUAACUGGAGGACCGAACCGACUAAUGUUGAAAAAUUAGCGGAUGACUUGUGGCUGGGGGUGAAAGGCCAAUCAAACCGGGAGAUAGCUGGUUCUCCCCGAAAGCUAUUUAGGUAGCGCCUCGUGAACUCAUCUUCGGGGGUAGAGCACUGUUUCGGCUAGGGGGUCAUCCCGACUUACCAACCCGAUGCAAACUACGAAUACCGAAGAAUGUUAUCACGGGAGACACACGGCGGGUGCUAACGUCCGUCGUGAAGAGGGAAACAACCCAGACCGCCAGCUAAGGUCCCAAAGUCAUGGUUAAGUGGGAAACGAUGUGGGAAGGCACAGACAGCCAGGAUGUUGGCUUAGAAGCAGCCAUCAUUUAAAGAAAGCGUAAUAGCUCACUGGUCGAGUCGGCCUGCGCGGAAGAUGUAACGGGGCUAAACCAUGCACCGAAGCUGCGGCAGCGACACUAUGUGUUGUUGGGUAGGGGAGCGUUCUGUAAGCCUGCGAAGGUGNUGCUGGAGGUAUCAGAAGUGCGAAUGCUGACAUAAGUAACGAUAAAGCGGGUGAAAAGCCCGCUCGCCGGAAGACCAAGGGUUCCUGUCCAACGUUAAUCGGGGCAGGGUGAGUCGACCCCUAAGGCGAGGCCGAAAGGCGUAGUCGAUGGGAAACAGGUUAAUAUUCCUGUACUUGGUGUUACUGCGAAGGGGGGACGGAGAAGGCUAUGUUAGCCGGGCGACGGUUGUCCCGGUUUAAGCAUGUAGGCUGGUUGUCCAGGCAAAUCCGGAUAAUCAAGGCUGAGGUGUGAUGACGAGGCACUACGGUGCUGAAGUAACAAAUGCCCUGCUUCCAGGAAAAGCCUCUAAGCAUCAGGUAACAUUAAAUCGUACCCCAAACCGACACAGGUGGUCAGGUAGAGAAUACCAAGGCGCUUGAGAGAACUCGGGUGAAGGAACUAGGCAAAAUGGUGCCGUAACUUCGGGAGAAGGCACGCUGGUGUGUAGGUGAAGCCCCUGCGGGUGGAGCUGAGACCAGUCGAAGAUACCAGCUGGCUGCAACUGUUUAUUAAAAACACAGCACUGUGCAAACACGAAAGUGGACGUAUACGGUGUGACGCCUGCCCGGUGCCGGAAGGUUAAUUGAUGGGGUUAUCCGUAAGGAGAAGCUCUUGAUCGAAGCCCCGGUAAACGGCGGCCGUAACUAUAACGGUCCUAAGGUAGCGAAAUUCCUUGUCGGGUAAGUUCCGACCUGCACGAAUGGCGUAAUGAUGGCCAGGCUGUCUCCACCCGAGACUCAGUGAAAUUGAACUCGCUGUGAAGAUGCAGUGUACCCGCGGCAAGACGGAAAGACCCCGUGAACCUUUACUAUAGCUUGACACUGAACAUUGAGCCUUGAUGUGUAGGAUAGGUGGGAGGCUUUGAAGCGUGGACGCCAGUCUGCGUGGAGCCAACCUUGAAAUACCACCCUUUAAUGUUUGAUGUUCUAACGUUGGCCCCUUACCGGGGUUGCGGACAGUGUCUGGUGGGUAGUUUGACUGGGGCGGUCUCCUCCCAAAGCGUAACGGAGGAGCACGAAGGUUAGCUAAUCCUGGUCGGACAUCAGGAGGUUAGUGCAAUGGCAUAAGCUAGCUUGACUGCGAGCGUGACGGCGCGAGCAGGUGCGAAAGCAGGUCAUAGUGAUCCGGUGGUUCUGAAUGGAAGGGCCAUCGCUCAACGGAUAAAAGGUACUCCGGGGAUAACAGGCUGAUACCGCCCAAGAGUUCAUAUCGACGGCGGUGUUUGGCACCUCGAUGUCGGCUCAUCACAUCCUGGGGCUGAAGUAGGUCCCAAGGGUAUGGCUGUUCGCCAUUUAAAGUGGUACGCGAGCUGGGUUUAGAACGUCGUGAGACAGUUCGGUCCCUAUCUGCCGUGGGCGCUGGAGAAUUGAGGGGGGCUGCUCCUAGUACGAGAGGACCGGAGUGGACGCAUCACUGGUGUUCGGGUUGUCAUGCCAAUGGCACUGCCCGGUAGCUAAAUGCGGAAGAGAUAAGUGCUGAAAGCAUCUAAGCACGAAACUUGCCCCGAGAUGAGUUCUCCCUGAGACUUUAAGUCUCCUGAAGGAACGUUAAAGACGAUGACGUUGAUAGGCCGGGUGUGUAAGCGCAGCGAUGCGUUGAGCUAACCGGUACUAAUGAACCGUGAGGCUUAACCUU
This 2849-nucleotide ribosomal RNA is filed under the name Klebsiella pneumoniae. RNAcentral's name for it is "23S ribosomal RNA". It matches the Rfam family "Bacterial large subunit ribosomal RNA". Lineage: Bacteria; Pseudomonadati; Pseudomonadota; Gammaproteobacteria; Enterobacterales; Enterobacteriaceae. The record is from RNAcentral.